CCUACGGGUGGCUGCAGUGAGGAAUAUUGGUCAAUGGCCGGAAGGCUGAACCAGCCAAGUCGCGUGAGGGACGACUGCCCUAUGGGUUGUAAACCUCUUUUAUAAGGGAAGAAUAAAUGCUACGUGUAGCAUGAUGCCUGUACCUUAUGAAUAAGCAUCGGCUAACUCCGUGCCAGCAGCCGCGGUAAUACGGAGGAUGCGAGCGUUAUCCGGAUUUAUUGGGUUUAAAGGGUGCGUAGGCGGUUUUUUAAGUUAGUGGUUAAACGUCGGGGCUUCACCUUGAUUUGCCAUUAAUACUGUAAGACUCGAGUUCAGACGAGGUAGGCGGAAUAAGUUAAGUAGCGGUGAAAUGCAUAGAUAUCACACAGAACACCGAUUGCGAAGGCAUCUCACGAAUCCGCGAUUGACGCUGAUGCACGAAAGCGUGGGUAUCAAACAGGAUUAGAUACCCGGGUAGUC
RNAcentral lists this ribosomal RNA (459 nucleotides) under uncultured bacterium. RNAcentral's name for it is "partial 16S ribosomal RNA". It matches the Rfam family "Bacterial small subunit ribosomal RNA", at positions 338 to 795 of the family's 1533-position model. The record is from RNAcentral.